RNAcentral lists this ribosomal RNA (253 nucleotides) under uncultured bacterium. RNAcentral describes it as "partial 16S ribosomal RNA". It matches the Rfam family "Bacterial small subunit ribosomal RNA", at positions 524 to 776 of the family's 1533-position model. The record is from RNAcentral.
UACGUAGGUGGCAAGCGUUGUCCGGAAUUAUUGGGCGUAAAGCGCGCGCAGGCGGUCCUUUAAGUCUGAUGUGAAAGCCCACGGCUCAACCGUGGAGGGUCAUUGGAAACUGGGGGACUUGAGUACAGAAGAGAAGAGUGGAAUUCCACGUGUAGCGGUGAAAUGCGUAGAGAUGUGGAGGAGCACCAGUGGCGAAGGCGGCUUCCUGGCCUGUAACUGACGCUGAGACGCGAAAGCGUGGGGAGCGAACCGG